RNAcentral lists this long non-coding RNA (1443 nucleotides) under Daphnia magna. RNAcentral describes it as "uncharacterized LOC116930390, transcript variant X1". Lineage: Eukaryota; Metazoa; Arthropoda; Branchiopoda; Diplostraca; Daphniidae. The record is from RNAcentral.
GUAUAAAUAAACACGAAAAACAAACAAAUGAAGGCGGCAGCCCGACAAAAAACUCCACACACGCCCCAGACACACCACACCCCACAAGCAGAAGGGGUGGAGAGGGAUAGAUAUCUAUUUAGAGUGAGGAGAGGGAGAGAGCCAAUCAGUGGGCCGGAAUAAUCCCUCUGGAAUGUAGCAGCGACGGUCUCAACCCUUCGAGACCGUCUUGCGGAGACCAAGUUGUAAAUAUACCAUCAUACCAUCAGAGAUAUUGUAGCUACCAUGCUGAAAAAAAGCUGAAACAAUGCUAAAACUCUCUGUUUUUGCUCAGUUCCAUUCGAUUCAAUUCUUGUUCAGGCCGCUUACGGUGUUCCAUAGUUUCCCCAGAACCUUGAACGCCCGACCAGUAGUUGUGAAGUUGUCGUUAAAUAUUUAUAAUAAAUUAAUAAAUCUCCUCUAUCUCUUCCGCUCGAUGGUUGCUUUUCAAACCCACUUUGCUGAAACAGUGUAUUUUCUUGUAUCGCAGAUAAAAAUAUCCAAAGAUUUACUAGGAAGAGAACUAGUAGAUCUUGUGAAAGAAUCAGAUCGUGAAAGAAGAAGUACGCUUACCUUUUACACUAAAAGACUAGAGACCUACCCAGUGAUAUAAGUAUAACCUAGUAAGAUGGUCAAAGCAGAUUGCCCUGCUUGACCAGUAUUGAAGGAACCAACACGGAAGACCGGGAUGGGCUCAAUGGAAACAUUCUUUUUUUCCCCCUUUUUUUUCAAUCCCUCUACUUUUUGGUCUCAUCCUUUUCAGGUUACAAUUCUCAGCUUCAAGGUUAGAGGGGGAAGCAUGGCAUCAUGCUUUGCAUGACGGAGCUAAGUAAUAACCCGGACGCCAACGAAAGCUAUCGGUUUUAACCUUUUCAACCUGAAUUUAUUACCUUAAAACGUCACUGGGCUCCGUGGAACUAAGACGUAAUAAAUUCGCUUCAAUGGAUGGAAUACCACAAACUAACUAGAAGUGUCUUACUAAAGUUAGAGAAAGUCGAGAAAGACACCAUCGUAGCGAAUGGAAUAUAGUGGGGCCAUUGAAGUUGUUAUUCAAUCUGUAUCAAACAACGAUGUCGUUCCUGUCUAACAUCACGGCUGCCUUUAUGCUUAUGUUAGAAAAAAACUUUGCGACAUCACAUUUCUAGCAUCAGACCGAAUACUCCAGAAAAGUCAAUAGCAGCAUACCGCUUCAUGUUCAGUACCGGUUUUACCAAAAGAGAGGUGGAGGGACCCUCAUCUUUGUUCUUUACCUGCGCCAGAAUAAGAAAACAUAGCCCUGUUCGCAAGGCAGCUGCAGUAUCCAGUCGGAAAAUUUCCCUAAAGCCGUUCUAUGUCUUUGGAAAAAUACACAUAUUUGGUAGGCUAUAGUAUUUUUUUGUUUGUUUCAUUGUAAUAUAUAUACUGUAUAUAUGGUGCAUACAUAAA